Long non-coding RNA from Apis cerana (Asiatic honeybee), 484 nucleotides. RefSeq lists it as uncharacterized. Lineage: Eukaryota; Metazoa; Arthropoda; Insecta; Hymenoptera; Apidae. The record is from RefSeq and is a predicted model, not a curated record.
UAAUAUAAAUAAUUAAUUAAAAUAAAUUUUAUAAUGCAAAUAAAUUAAUAAUAUAUAUUUUUAAUAUUGUUUAUUAAAAUAAUAAAAAUAUAUAUUGUGUAAUACUUUAAUUUUUCAUGCGAUUUCGAUUAUCGAAAUAAUCGAAAUAAUCGAAAGAUCGAGUUUCGUCGCCAGCCAAUGAGAGAGCUUCUUGGCGACUUUUGGCGCGCAAUGUCAGUCUUCUGUGGAAAGUGAACAAGUGAGGACGUGUGAUCGCUGCCGGCUUGGAAAAUUCUACUGCGCAAUUGUUACUUGAUUAUCGGACCUGUAUAUUGGUCGGGAAGGCGGGAAAAAUUCCAACAUGGACGCCAUUAUAUUUUUUCAAAGGGAAGCUUGAUUUUUCGCUCGUCUAUUAUAUAUCAAUUCUAUUUCAAGAAAAUUUUGUAUCAUCGAUUAAUAAAUAUUUAUAUGUUAUUUUACUAAUUAUUUAGAAUUUUAUUUGUUU